Long non-coding RNA from Hevea brasiliensis (rubber tree), 482 nucleotides. RefSeq lists it as uncharacterized. The transcript is spliced from 2 exons. The record is from RefSeq and is a predicted model, not a curated record. NCBI's taxonomy places the organism in Eukaryota, Viridiplantae, Streptophyta, Magnoliopsida, Malpighiales, Euphorbiaceae.
CGUGCUCUCAGAGAGCGGGUCUCCUCUCUUAGUUUCUGGGACUGAGAUGUAUAUAUAUAUAUAUAUAUAUUAUUUUGUUGCAGGUCGGUGUAAUGUCAAAGGGACCUGUCUUUAGGGACCUCUGUGUACCAUGGAAGCUGUCUAGACGAGGAUUGAUCUGAUUGGUUGAGUGUGCAGAGAAUUUAUGUCUUUGGCAAGUGAAACCUCUGGGGUCUUUACCCACUAAAAACUGCCCGACUCUAUGGCUGAGAAAAUGCUGAAGAGCUCUUCAUAGCCCUCUUUCUCUCUGCUGCAUCCCCGGCAUCUCCAUGGUUACUUUAGAUCUAGUGAUUGGCUUUGAUGUUGGGGUCCUUCCUAAUGGCUGCCUCCUGGUUGCUGCCUUACUAGGGUUGGUUGCUAGGCUUGGGCUGAUGUUGUAUUGGGUUUGUAGGAAUCUAUGUUUUAGGUCAUGGGGUUGAAUUAUGAUUUGUGCUUGGACCUCA